Molecule: ribosomal RNA, 253 nt
Filed under: uncultured bacterium
Lineage: Bacteria
Description: partial 16S ribosomal RNA
Rfam family: Bacterial small subunit ribosomal RNA
Source: RNAcentral
UACGGGGGGGGCAAGCGUUGUUCGGAAUUACUGGGCGUAAAGGGCGCGUAGGCGGCCUUCUAAGUCGAACGUGAAAUCCCCGGGCUCAACCCGGGAACUGCGUCCGAUACUGGAAGGCUUGAAUCCGGGAGAGGGAUGCGGAAUUCCAGGUGUAGCGGUGAAAUGCGUAGAUAUCUGGAGGAACACCGGUGGCGAAGGCGGCAUCCCGGACCGGUAUUGACGCUGAGGCGCGAAAGCCAGGGGAGCAAACGGG